CUGAGAGGUUGAACGGCCACAUUGGGACUGAGACACGGCCCAGACUCCUACGGGAGGCAGCAGUGGGGAAUAUUGCACAAUGGGGGAAACCCUGAUGCAGCGACGCCGCGUGGAGGAAGAAGGUCUUCGGAUUGUAAACUCCUGUUGUUGAGGAAGAUAAUGACGGUACUCAACAAGGAAGUGACGGCUAACUACGUGCCAGCAGCCGCGGUAAAACGUAGGUCACAAGCGUUGUCCGGAAUUACUGGGUGUAAAGGGAGCGCAGGCGGGAAGACAAGUUGGAAGUGAAAUCUAUGGGCUCAACCCAUAAACUGCUUUCAAAACUGUUUUUCUUGAGUAGUGCAGAGGUAGGCGGAAUUCCCGGUGUAGCGGUGGAAUGCGUAGAUAUCGGGAGGAACACCAGUGGCGAAGGCGGCCUACUGGGCACCAACUGACGCUGAGGCUCGAAAGUGUGGGUAGCAAACAGGAUUAGAUACCCCGGUAGUCCACACCGUAAACGAUGAUUACUAGGUGUUGGAGGAUUGACCCCUUCAGUGCCGCAGUUAACACAAUAAGUAAUCCACCUGGGGAGUACGACCGCAAGGUUGAAACUCAAAGGAAUUGACGGGGGCCCGCACAAGCAGUGGAGUAUGUGGUUUAAUUCGACGCAACGCGAAGAACCUUACCAAGUCUUGACAUCCCUUGACGAACAUAGAAAUAUGUUUUCUCUUCGGAGCAAGGAGACAGGUGGUGCAUGGUUGUCGUCAGCUCGUGUCGUGAGAUGUUGGUUAAGUCCCGCAACGAGCGCAACCCUUAUGGUCAGUUACUACGCAAGAGGACUCUGGCCAGACUGCCGUUGACAAAACGGAGGAAGGUGGGGAUGACGUCAAAUCAUCAUGCCCUUUAUGACUUGGGCUACACACGUACUACAAUGGCGUUAAACAAAGAGAAGCAAGACCGCGAGGUGGAGCAAAUCUCAGAAACAACGUCCCAGUUCGGACUGCAGGCUGCAACUCGCCUGCACGAAGUCGGAAUUGCUAGUAAUCGCAGAUCAGCAUGCUGCGGUGAAUACGUUCCCGGGCCUUGUACACACCGCCCGUCACACCAUGAGAGCCGGGGGGACCCGAAGUCGGUAGUCUAACCGCAAGGAGGACGCCGCCGAAGGUAAAACUGGUGAUUGGGGUGAAGUCGUAACAAGGUAGCCGUAGGAGAACCUGCGGCUG
This 1202-nucleotide ribosomal RNA is filed under the name metagenome. RNAcentral's name for it is "bacterial SSU rRNA". It matches the Rfam family "Bacterial small subunit ribosomal RNA", at positions 292 to 1520 of the family's 1533-position model. The record is from RNAcentral.